Molecule: non-coding RNA, 211 nt
Filed under: human gut metagenome
Source: RNAcentral
CUGCAAUGUGGCUCGGUGAAAAGGGAAUCAGGUGAAAAUCCUGAACAGACGGUGCUGCUGUGUGCUCCCCCAACUUGCCUCAUGGUGGGUUUAACCUGCAUCACCACCACUGCACAGCCACUCUUGGCGUGUGGGAAGGUGUGAUGCUCUCCCUCUCUCAUAGGGAGGGGGAAUAGGGACGGGAGUGAGUCAGAAGACCUGCCAAGUUGUU